Molecule: ribosomal RNA, 497 nt
Filed under: uncultured bacterium
Lineage: Bacteria
Description: partial 16S ribosomal RNA
Rfam family: Bacterial small subunit ribosomal RNA
Source: RNAcentral
GGUGAACGCUGGCGGCGUGCCUAACACAUGCAAGUCGAACGAAAACACGAGGAGCUCGUUCUCUUAACGUUAGCGGCGGGCGGGCGAGUAACACGUGGAUCACCAUCUUAUUAUACUGGGAUAAUUACGGGAAGCAGCUUCCACUACCGGCUCAUAUAAUCUACCGGUUGGAUCAGUAGUUCAUGACGGCUUUGCUGUCACUAUUAGCUGGUUUCGCGUCGCAUUAGCUAGUUGGUAAGGUAACGGCUAACCAAGGCGACGAUGCGUAGCCGACCUGAGAGGGUGAUCAGCCACACUGGAACUGAGACACGGUCCAGACUCCUACGGGAGGCAGCAGUGGGGAAUAUUGGGCAAUGGGCGAAAGCCUGACGGAGCCACACCGCGUGGGUGAAGAAGGCCUUCGGGUCGUAAAGCUCUUUUGUUGGGAAAGAAAAGAAGUAUGUGAAUACAUCGCCGUCUUGACGGUACCUAAAGAAAAAGCACCGGCUAACUUCGUG